CAACCCUCAAGCACCCCCUAGGGGCGCUUGGUGUUGGGGACCGGCCCGCCCCCCGCGGCGCGCCGCCCCCGAAAUGCAGUGGCGCCCUCGCCGCAGCCUCCCCUGCGUAGUAGCACAACCUCGCACCGGAGCGCGGAGACGGUCACGCCGUAAAACGCCCAACUUUCUUAG
This 171-nucleotide unclassified non-coding RNA is filed under the name uncultured Tolypocladium. RNAcentral describes it as "sequence contains ITS2". Lineage: Eukaryota; Fungi; Ascomycota; Sordariomycetes; Hypocreales; Clavicipitaceae. The record is from RNAcentral.